Molecule: unclassified non-coding RNA, 780 nt
Filed under: Hevea brasiliensis (rubber tree)
Lineage: Eukaryota; Viridiplantae; Streptophyta; Magnoliopsida; Malpighiales; Euphorbiaceae
Source: RNAcentral
UAUCUUGCCUUACCCCUGUAACUCUGUCUGAAUUGGAUGUGAAUACUCAGUCUGGACAUGAUGUAGUUGCACCUGGAGCAUAUGAUUCUAAAAAGAUUGAAGUGGUUAACACAACUGUUGGUCUUCCUAAAUCAACUGCCCGGCACUUGCAGCCAAGGAACAGUCGUAAUAUCCAGAAGAGGAGAAGCUCAUUGAGGUCAAUGAGAGGCAGACAUUCUUCCUUUGGCACACAGAAUGCCAGUGGUGUUUUGACUUCCGACAGGUUAAGGUUCAGACGUGAUGGCCUCCGAUUUUCCUCUCGGACACCUCAUUAUGAGCUUAGAAGUUCACGGCAGAAAACUUCCAUGCCAAGCGUCAAAGAACUAAAAUCUGCUUUGGUGCGAUUGACACAGAAUAUAGAGACAGCGAGUUGUUCGGCAAACAUAUUGGUUACCGAACCAGACAAGUGUUACAGAGAAGAAGGCGCCGUCAUUGGUAUGGAACUUUCUGCUGCAAAACAAUGGAUUCUAGCAGUGAAGAUAGGUGGUGUAAGGAGAUUUAAUCUUACUACUGAAAAAGUUAUGAGGCCAUGUAGUUCCAACCGUGUAACUCAUGACUUAAUAUGGGUUGGGGAUAGUGGUUGGAAGUUAGAGUUUCCAGAUAGGCAAGACUGGUUGAUUUUCAAGGAACUUUACAAAGGAUGUUCUGAUCGCAAUGUACAGCCCCCUGCGGUGAGCAUCAUUCCUGUUCCUGGUGUAAGUGAAGUAUCAGGCUAUGCAGAGAGCAAUCCUCCCGUCUUUG